AUUCAGAAUAUUCUGAUAAUUUUAUUAUUGUGGUAUGUUAUAGGAAAAAUAAUUUUAAGGAAUAUGAUUAAGUAAUUAGUAAAGAAAUAUUGAUUUUACGAUAGGAAAAAAGUACUGAAAAGGAAAUAUGAAAUAGGCUGAAAAUUUAAUUUUAAGGAAGCAGAUAUUAAAAAUCGUACCUUGUGUAUCAGGGGUUAAUUAAUAAAAUAAAUAGAUAUAUAAUUCCCAAAAGAGAAAGAUCUAGGCUUUUAUAAUUAUUUCUGUGUCAUUAUAAUUUUAAAUAGGAGACUAGUAGUGAAAUAUUAAUCGGUUUCUCUUAUAUUUGGUUUCUUAAGAAUUAAAUUUAAUUUAGGCUUGCUUUUAUUUAAGAAUUAAUUGAAUAAUUUGAUUAAAUAAGGUUGGUUUUAGGAUUAGAGGGAUUAGCUUUUAAUUCAACUAAAUUUUAGUAUAAUUUACUAAAUAAUUAAAAUGUUUAUACGCUUAGAAAUAGCAAUUAGUAAAAAUAAUGUUAUAAUUUGCAUUUUGGAUAUAAUUAUUUUGUAUAGAUUUACUUGAUUUAUUAAGAUAAAAUCUAAAAUUAAUUUGGGUUAGUAGUAAUAUUAUUAUGAGUAGAAUAAAAUUUUAGAUUUUUUUAAGUUUAAAUAUAACAAAGGAACUCGGCAAAUAUAUUUUUCGCCUGUUUAUCAAAAACAUCUCCUUAAGAUUUAAUUUAAGGUAUAACCUGCUCUAUGAAUAUUUUUAAAUGGCCGCGGUAUUUUGACCGUGCGAAGGUAGCAUAAUCAUUAGUCUUUUAAUUGGAGGCUGGUAUGAAUGGUUGGACGAGAGAAUUUCUGUCUCUGUUAUAAAAUUUGAAUUUUAUUUUUAAGUGAAAAAGCUUAAAUUCUUUUGAGGGACGAUAAGACCCUUUGGAUCUUUAUAAUAAUGAAUAAUAAAAAGGUUUGAUGUGACAGCUUAUUGUUUUAAAUUAUUGGGUUGGGGCGACCGGAAGAAAAAAAUAUCUCUUCUUAAAUAAUAUACUAAUUUAUAGAAUUAAGAUGACCCUGAAUUUUGGUUUAAAAGACUAAGUUACCCUAGGGAUAACAGCGUAAUCUUUUUGGAGAGUUCAUAUCGAUGAAAAGGUUUGCGACCUCGAUGUUGGAUUAAGAGAUCCUUAUGGCGCAGCCGUUAUAAAGGAAAGUCUGUUCGACUUUUAAAUUCUUACAUGAUCUGAGUUCAAACCGGCGUAAGCCAGGUUGGUUUCUAUCUUCAAAUUUUUUAUUUCAUUUUAGUACGAAAGGAUUAAAUGAAAAAACUAUGUUUAAUUUAAGACAAAAAUUAAUUAUCAUUU
Molecule: ribosomal RNA, 1327 nt
Filed under: Triops sp. EPP1
Lineage: Eukaryota; Metazoa; Arthropoda; Branchiopoda; Notostraca; Triopsidae
Description: 16S ribosomal RNA
Rfam family: Archaeal large subunit ribosomal RNA (bases 624-1327)
Source: RNAcentral